ACUGUUGCCAACUCCUCAGUAAGGAAAGUCGCUGUUGGCUGUCCUAAAAGUCGCUAGAAGUCGCUAAAUGACGUCAUCGCCUAAUUUGCAUAUUUCCCAGUUUGCAUGUAAUUGUAAACGUUUUAGGAGAGAGGAAUAACAUUGUGAAAGAGACCAAAAAGUGAAUAUAAAAUACCCAAAAUAUGUUUUUGUACUAGAGGCUAAAUGCUGUGGUUUAUUUUAGCAUGACAGUGAAGAAAGAUUUUCGUUUAUAUGGCUCCGUAAGUCUGGAUGGGAUCUGUAGUGACUGCGCAUGCGCGAUUCAUCUGCCGUCUGGCCGCGGAGUGAUAUGGGUCUCUCCCUCCCGUCACUGGGACUGCUGCAGGGUUACUGGACUGACAGCCUGUGCUCUGGGAGGGGGAGAAGCUCACAGCAGCACCUGCUGCUUGUUGAGGACAGUAACUGCAGAAUGAGCCGAGUUUUCCUAUUAGAGUCUCCAAAACGGCAGAAAAAGUCGCUAGAUUUGUGGCUAGUCGCUUUUGACCAAAAAAAGUCGCUAGGAGCUUUGAAAAGUCGCUAGAUUUAGCGAGAAAGUCGCUAAGUUGGCAACACUGCUCAGACAGAGAGCGGCCUGCUGAUGAACAACAACUGACGUCUCGUCUCCCGUUUUUUCCUGAAUAAUACAGGUUAGUAAUGUGUUUCAAUUUGACACUAUACAGCCCGACAGACUGAGCAAACCUUCAUGGUGUGUGGUGAAGUUGGAGAAGGUUCAUGUUACAUAGACGGUCAUUUCAGUGACCGAUUGUUUGUGGUCGCGGCUAAUGCUUUGCUAGCUCCCGUACAAAGAGGUCGACAAAAUGGCAGCUUGUACGAUAUCUUUUUGCAUUCCGACAGUAGCUCCGUAAUACAUGUGCCCUUGUGUCAGUUUUUUCCAUGUAUAGACUGUAUUUGAAGAGCAGAAAUUGUUUAGUUGUUAUUAAUACAGCGUGAAGUCUGUGUUUGAUACUGUGUUCAUGAAUUUUAUUGAUCAGUUCACAUGUGUUUGUAUACAACAAAAACGAGUGAUGAAAUUGGUAGGCUUAAUUGCAGUGUGGAAAUCACUGAUAUGCUAAGCUGGAGCAGCAUUGACAGCGUAAAAGAUAGUCCAGACUGUUAAGUUGGAUCAUUUUGGGCUGUGCAAACAGCAGUUUGAGAGUGAUGGGAAAUGUAUUUUGUGUAUCCCAACGGUUUGAAUAUGUGUUUAUAUAUUGUUUGAUGGUGUGAUACAAUUUGUUAAAAAUUCAUUGUGGAAAACAGACAACUUGCAUAGGAAUUACAACAAAAGAGAAAAAAAUGAGAUCUGUUUAAUAAAGACAGAGAGCGGCCUGCUGAUGAACAACAACUGACGUCUCGUCUCCCGUUUUUUCCUGAAUAAUACAGAACACACAUCUUCUGGAAACAGGUAACUCGGCUGAGGCCUGUAACAUAAGCUCAGAGGAGUAAGCAGCUGUAGUCGAUUGUAAUCAUUCAUGAGGAGUGAGAAGGUCAUGCUCGUAAAUAAAUUUGAUGAACACAGCUGUCUGAAUCACAUAACUGAAUGUUUGAGUUUUUAUAUGUACAUUUUGACCCAGCAGCAGUGGCAGCUUGUUAAUCUGGGGCGCUAGGGCACCGCCCCCAUCAAGAUUUUGUGAAAAAGGUAUUGAUACAGUAAACAUAAAUACGUAUUUAAAGUAAUUAACACAUCUGCACAGUGUUCACUCAUACAGUGGGUCUCAUUUUUAUUUUUUUUUAAGCCUUUCCAUUCCAUAUUGGGGGGGUUUUUCGGUGUUGUUUUACACGUUUCAAUAGCGAGGUGCGCCUGCCAAAUGAGAGUGCAUGUACAUUCUCCGACAGCAAAGAGGCGUCGGGCACUCAGUUCAGAGGAUCGUCAAAGGGUUGCAGAAGAGAUCUGCAAGACCAUUCUGGGACACACCAAGGAGCGCUUCUCCUUCACCGACCAUCUCGUCUGUGCAACCUCGUUGCGGGGGGACAGGUUUGAAGAACAUCACGGGUCAUUUCCUGAAGAGGCACCGCAACGCACUUUGAAGGCCUACCCGAUGCUGAAUGGAAGCAAGCUGAAGACAGAACGCGGUCUCAUCUCCAGCAAAGUAGAGUUCAGAGCCUGCUGUGGUGCACUGGACCUAUUCCAGCUGUUUAUAGAGAACAAUCUUGAAGUUGUCUUUUCAGAAACUGUCAAUCUUUUAAGGAUCCUGAUCACCACACCCAUGACCACAGCUGAAGCAGAGAGGUGUUUCUCAACCUUGAAAAGAGUGAAAACUUUUCUCAGAAACACCAUGACCCAGGAAAGGCUGAAUGCCUUGGCCAUGCUCUCCAUGGAAAAGAGACUUGUUUGUGAAAUGACAGAUUUCAAUCAGAAAAUCAUUGAUAAAUUUGCUGGCCUGAAGGAGAGGAGAGCAAAAUUGAUGUUCAAGUAAUUGUUUUGUUGUGUUGUAAUGCCCGUCUGCUAGUGCGCCCCCCCAGAAUAUUUUAUCACCAGCCGCCACUGUUUAAGACUCUGUCUGAUCUUUGAACUGAACAAUGCCAUUGACCUACCACUGCAGCACAUAAAUCACCAAGCAGUCUGUGGAACAAAAACGUGAUCGAUGUCUGUUGAUGCUUAACUGACAAAUGAUUUUUCUUCAGCUUAGUCAGCACAUGACUGGUUUAUUUGAAAUGGGUAUUUUCAAAAAGAUAUUUGAAUGAAAGUCUCCCCACUACAGAGUAUAAAUGUUGCUUUGUCUAGUAAACGAGUUGGUGGUGUCUUUAAGUUUAUUUUUAAUUCAACCUCCAAACUUGGAGGCUGAUUUGAGACUCCUGUAAUGACACCACCUCCAUCUGCUCCAUCACAGACUGACCAGCCCACCUGCUGGUCUUCUGUGCAUCAUCUGAGCCUUAUUUUCAAUAUCUAGAAAUUGCAGGCCUUUCUCAAGCCCAGGCCCAGAGUGGCUGAUCGGGAGGACCGGGACAAUUCCCGGUGGCUCGGUCUGAUGUUUGGGCUGCGAGGGCCGGUGUUCAGUCAUGCCACUGGAUUGAUCAUUCUGCUGCUGCCGCUGUUCCUGGGCCGCCUCCAUUGGCAGCUCUUUUUUGUUUGAUUUUGUUUUUUUUUUUUUGUUGUUGCAGACGCACCAUGACGUAACACGUCCGUGCGCACGGUCGGAGGUGUUUGAAACAUAUAUGUCUGUGGUUUGAAAGAUGAAAACAGGAAGAGCAAAGGUGGUGUGGAGUAGUGACCCAUUUUAUUUUUUAUCAUUAAAAGACAGUAAAUACACAAAGCCCACAAUUGACAGGGAAUAGGAAGAGAUAAAAACAUUUACUUUCAUUACUGAUGUUGUCCAGUUUUAAUAAAGUUCAUGCUACUUUUAUAAAAUGAUGAAAGUGAAUAAAUUGUAUUUGUGUGAUCUGUGUUUGAUAGCUGUCUUUUCUCCGGUCAUCCAGAUGUUCAGAGGGAGGUGAUGCCACAUCUGGUCCAGCUGAUGGAAGGUGUUGAAGUUCUUUGACUGAAGAUGAUCCUCUGACUGGAUUUAAGGUUCAGAUGCUCAGGAACAAACGCCACCAAUGAGCCAACAGGGAAGCUUUAGGAUUAUUAAAUGCUGCUGUGAAGGUUUCGCUGUUUUUCUUUGUGAAUGCAAAGUGCUCCAACUGAAACUUGAACUAGAACUUAGUAGUAAAUCCUUCCAUCUGACAGGAUUUAGUUGCAUUAAUAACCUCAUAACAUUCUAAUUUUUAUCCCAGUCUUGGUUGGAAACAGAAUCUCUGUAUUGAUUCAGGUAAAAACUGAACUUCACAGCAUGUUGGAGCAAAACAAGCAGAUGAAAAGUGUGACGGUGUUGGGUUGUCAGACCGUAAUGUUGCAGCUCAAAGCAGCUUUUCUAUCUCACUUCAUUCUGACAUUCAGCUCUGAAUCUACAGCAGAUCCAGAAGAUGGUGAUCCAUGCUGUGGAAGUCUCACAUCUCAUUUAAUUACACUGUUUUUUCACCAACACUUUAUUUAAUGAAAGUCCCAUUUAGUUUUUAUGAGGAAUGUGACGUUUUAAUUUCUCUGUGAAUAACUGCAGUCUGGUGGAACAGCUGGAGUUGUAACAUCUGUCCUGAUAUUGAUCAUGAAGUACUGAUCAGAAUACUUUGGGUUAGCAGUCAUCCCUGAAGUUUUACAUGAAAAAAAAAUCUUCACUUGUGAACUUUGGUAAGAAGCAGAAACUUUAGCGUUGCCAUGGAUACAUGGGUGUUAAAUUCAGUCCAUGUUUCAUUUUGGGAUGCAGUCCAGCAGAUGACUUUGUUUUUACUGACAGCUACCAUUCAGUCUGAGAUAUUAAGAAUAAAUAAAUGUGCAUAAUGUGGAAAUGAACAGAUUUUAUUUUUAUUUAUUCCUACAGCUGCCGCAGUCAAAGUUCCAGAAUGUGGAGAAAUUUAAUCUCACGAUGACAGACAAUAAAUAUGAUCUGAAAGUUG
Molecule: long non-coding RNA, 4446 nt
Organism: Acanthochromis polyacanthus (spiny chromis)
Lineage: Eukaryota; Metazoa; Chordata; Actinopteri; Pomacentridae
Exons: 2
Source: RefSeq, a predicted model, not a curated record